RNAcentral lists this ribosomal RNA (581 nucleotides) under uncultured bacterium. Its description in RNAcentral is "bacterial SSU rRNA". It matches the Rfam family "Bacterial small subunit ribosomal RNA", at positions 338 to 916 of the family's 1533-position model. The record is from RNAcentral.
CCUACGGGAGGCAGCAGUGGGGAAUAUUGGACAAUGGGCGAAAGCCUGAUCCAGCAAUUCCGCGUGUGUGAAGAAGGCCUUCGGGUUGUAAAGCACUUUAGUGGGGGAAGAAACAGCUUGGCCACACCAAGCCUUGACGGUACCCCAAGAAUAAGCACCGGCUAACUCUGUGCCAGCAGCCGCGGUAAUACAGAGGGUGCAAGCGUUAAUCGGAUUUACUGGGCGUAAAGGGUGCGUAGGUGGCUAUUUAAGUCGGAUGUGAAAGCCCGGGGCUCAACCUCGGAAUUGCAUUCGAUACUGAGUGGCUAGAGUUCGGUAGAGGGCGGCGGAAUUUCCGGUGUAGCGGUGAAAUGCGUAGGUAUCGGAAGGAACAUCAAUGGCGAAGGCAGCCGCCUGGGCCUGGACUGACACUGAGGCACGAAAGCGUGGGUAGCAAACAGGAUUAGAUACCCUGGUAGUCCACGCCGUAAACGAUGAGAACUUGACGUUGGUUCGUUUUACGAAUCGGUGUCGCAGCUAACGCGAUAAGUUCUCCGCCUGGGGAGUACGGCCGCAAGGUUGAAACUCAAAUGAAUUGACGG